RNAcentral lists this ribosomal RNA (750 nucleotides) under Triticum aestivum (bread wheat). Its description in RNAcentral is "partial small subunit ribosomal RNA". Lineage: Eukaryota; Viridiplantae; Streptophyta; Magnoliopsida; Poales; Poaceae. The record is from RNAcentral.
AUGGAAGCCAAAAAUCUGUUGCUGAACGACUCUCCAGAUAAAAUUUCACGGGCUCUUAGUAGUAAAGGGACAUUUACUACUAAAUCCACCUAUGAAUGGUUGGAAAGAAACCUAUCAGGUCCCAACUAUAAAUGGGUGUGGAAAGCACCUAUUCCGCUGAAGAUUAAAAUUUUCUUAUGGCAACUAUUUCAGAAUGCUAUGCUUACACGGGAUAAUAUGCGUAUUAGAAAAUGGCCUGGAAAUCCUAUGUGUUCCUUUUGUACAAAUGUAGAAACAGCAAAUCACUUGUUCUUUGCCUGCCCACUUGGGCGUUCAGUUUGGGGUGUGCUGGGUGUGACGCCCCCGAUUCAAUCGCACACUAAUCAUGCACGCAAACGUAUACGAUCAAGAUCAGGGACUCACGGGAAGAUAUCACAACACAACUCUAAAAACAUAAAUAAGUCAUACAAGCAUCAUAAUACAAGCCAGGGGCCUCGAGGGCUCGAAUACAAGUGCUCGAUCAUAGACGAGUCAGCGGAAGCAACAAUAUCUGAGUACAGACAUAAGUUAAACAAGUUUGCCUUAAGAAGGCUAGCACAAACUGAGAUACAGAUCGAAAUAGGCGCAGGCCUCCUGCCUGGGAUCCUCCUAACUACUCUUGGUCGUCGUCAGCGGCCUGCAUGUAGUAUUAGGCACCUCCGGUGUAGUAGGGGUCGUCGUCGACGGUGGCGUCUGGCUCCUGGACUCCAGCAUCUUGCGACAACUAGGUAG